This 253-nucleotide ribosomal RNA is filed under the name uncultured bacterium. RNAcentral's name for it is "partial 16S ribosomal RNA". It matches the Rfam family "Bacterial small subunit ribosomal RNA", at positions 524 to 776 of the family's 1533-position model. The record is from RNAcentral.
UACGGAAGGUGCAAGCGUUAUCCGGUUUUAUUGGGUUUAAAGGGUGCGUAGGCGGCUUAUUAAGUCAGUUGUGAAAUCCUAGCGCUCAACGUUAGAAUGGCGAUUGAUACUGGUAGGCUUGAGUCAAGAAGAGGUAAGUAGAAUUUAUGGUGUAGUAGUGAAAUGCAUAGAUAUCAUAAGGAAUACCGAUAGCGUAGGCAGCUUACUGGUCUUGAACUGACGCUGAGGCACGAAAGCGUGGGGAGCAAACAGG